RNAcentral lists this ribosomal RNA (748 nucleotides) under Microsporidium sp. BKES4. RNAcentral's name for it is "SSU rRNA". It matches the Rfam family "Microsporidia small subunit ribosomal RNA", at positions 1 to 788 of the family's 1311-position model. The record is from RNAcentral. Lineage: Eukaryota; Fungi; Microsporidia.
CACCAGGUUGAUUCUGCCUGACGUAGAUGCUAGUCUUUGAGAUUAAGCCAUGCAUGUUUAUGUAAUAAGGACGAAUAGCUCAGUAAAACUGCGAUUAUUUAGUCUGUUAAAGAUAACUACUUGAAAAUGUAGCUAAGAAAGAACAGAAUAAGACGUAGGACUAUCAGCUAGUUGGUAGUGUAAUGGACUACCAAGGCGGUAAUGGUUAACGGGGAAUUAGGGUUCUAUGCCGGAGAGGGAGCCUGAGAGAUUGCUCCCACGUCCAUGGACGGCAGCAGGCGCGAAAAUUGCCCACUCUCGUAGAGGCAGUUAUAAGACGUGAAGAAGAAUGUUUGGUAAAAAGAAACAGGAGAAUUGGAGGGCAAGUUUGGUGCCAGCAGCCGCGGUAAUACCGACUCCAAGAGUGUGUAUGAGAGAUGCUGCAUUUAAAAAGUCCGUAGUCUUGUAAUUAUAAAUAAGGAUAUGAAGUCUUGAAGUUAUAGAGUAGAAGAACCAAUGGGGAACAUAGUAUACCAGGGCUAGAGAUGAAAUGCCUGAACCCCUGGUGGACUAAGCGAGGCGAAGGCGAUGUUCUAGUGGGUAUUUGUUGAUCAAGGACGAAGGUUGGAGUAUCGAACGCGAUUAGAUACCGCAGUAGUUUCAACAGUAAAAGAUGCCGACAUGUCGAUUGGCAACAGUUGACGGGGAGAAAUCUUAGAGUUCGGGCUCUGGGGAUAGUAAGCUCGCAAGAGUGAAAAUUAAAGAAAUU